GACGAACGCUGGCGGCGUGCUUAACACAUGCAAGUCGAACGGAAAGGCCCUGCUUUUGUGGGGUGCUCGAGUGGCGAACGGGUGAGUAACACGUGAGUAACCUGCCCUUGACUUUGGGAUAACUUCAGGAAACUGGGGCUAAUACCGGAUAGGAGCUCCUGCUGCAUGGUGGGGGUGGGAAAGUUUCGGCGGUUGGGGAUGGACUCGCGGCUUAUCAGCUUGUUGGUGGGGUAGUGGCUUACCAAGGCUUUGACGGGUAGCCGGCCUGAGAGGGUGACCGGCCACAUUGGGACUGAGAUACGGCCCAGACUCCUACGGGAGGCAGCAGUGGGGAAUAUUGCACAAUGGGCGGAAGCAUGAUGCAGCAACGCCGCGUGCGGGAUGACGGCCUUCGGGUUGUAAACCGCUUUCGCCUGUGACGAAGCGUGAGUGACGGUAAUGGGUAAAGAAGCACCGGCUAACUACGUG
This 468-nucleotide ribosomal RNA is filed under the name uncultured bacterium. RNAcentral describes it as "partial 16S ribosomal RNA". It matches the Rfam family "Bacterial small subunit ribosomal RNA", at positions 28 to 507 of the family's 1533-position model. The record is from RNAcentral.